This 253-nucleotide ribosomal RNA is filed under the name uncultured bacterium. Its description in RNAcentral is "partial 16S ribosomal RNA". It matches the Rfam family "Bacterial small subunit ribosomal RNA", at positions 524 to 776 of the family's 1533-position model. The record is from RNAcentral.
UACAGGGGGUGCAAACGUUGCUCGGAAUUAUUGGGCGUAAAGCGCGCGUAGGCGGCUACUUAAGUCGAACGUGAAAUCCCUGGGCUCAACCCAGGAACUGCGUCCGAUACUGGUUGGCUUGAAUCCGGGAGAGGGAUGUGGAAUUCCAGGUGUAGCGGUGAAAUGCGUAGAUAUCUGGAGGAACACCGGUGGCGAAGGCGACAUCCUGGACCGGUAUUGACGCUGAGGCGCGAAAGCUAGGGGAGCAAACGGG